This 489-nucleotide ribosomal RNA is filed under the name uncultured bacterium. Its description in RNAcentral is "partial 16S ribosomal RNA". It matches the Rfam family "Bacterial small subunit ribosomal RNA", at positions 30 to 507 of the family's 1533-position model. The record is from RNAcentral.
AUUGAACGCUGGCGGCAGGCCUAACACAUGCAAGUCGAACGGUAACAGGAAGCAGCUUGCUGCUUUGCUGACGAGUGGCGGACGGGUGAGUAAUGUCUGGGAAACUGCCUGAUGGAGGGGGAUAACUACUGGAAACGGUAGCUAAUACCGCAUAACGUCGCAAGACCAAAGAGGGGGACCUUCGGGCCUCUUGCCAUCGGAUGUGCCCAGAUGGGAUUAGCUAGAGGUGGGGUAACGGCUCACCUAGGCGACGAUCCCUAGCUGGUCUGAGAGGAUGACCAGCCACACUGGAACUGAGACACGGUCCAGACUCCUACGGGAGGCAGCAGUGGGGAAUAUUGCACAAUGGGCGCAAGCCUGAUGCAGCCAUGCCGCGUGUAUGAAGAAGGCCUUCGGGUUGUAAAGUACUUUCAGCGGGGAGGAAGGGAGUAAAGUUAAUACCUUUGCUCAUUGACGUUACCCGCAGAAGAAGCACCGGCUAACUCCGUG